Molecule: unclassified non-coding RNA, 5744 nt
Filed under: Leishmania donovani
Lineage: Eukaryota; Euglenozoa; Kinetoplastea; Trypanosomatida; Trypanosomatidae
Description: gene:LdHU3.15.0480(CDS-product:alpha/beta_hydrola se_fold/Alpha/beta_hydrolase_family/Carboxylesterase_family _putative)
Source: RNAcentral
AAAUCGCCGAACCGGAAAGUCAUCUCCAUAUCUGUUUCCCCCUCAUAUUGGGUAUCUCUUCUUCUCGCUUUGCCCAGCUUCUCCCUCUCCCUUUCCCCACCCAGGCACCCCACGCCCCGUCAUCACGAGCCCCUCUCCAUCAUUCGACGCGACAUCAUCUUUAUUAGCCGCACGUCACUCGUUGGUGAUUGCUGGUGCUACCCCCUCUUCUCACCCGCCAAAGCCGUCCAUCGCUGGUUUUGCUUCGUUCUCUCUCUGUCAUCUCUGCCUUUCUUCCUUCCACAUCCCUGAAAGUGAUCACCGUUGCUGUUGCUGCUGUGUGCGCGUGCGUGCUGCCACCUUCAGCCCUUCCCACUCUCCCUCAUCGCUCGCUCAAGCGCUCACGUGCGCCGUGGAAGAAAGACGCACGUAACAAAGCAUACACCGUGCUGUGUGCAGCCCGAUCCUCCCCUGCUCGCCCCCCUCCCUCUCCUUCUGCUGCCCCAGUCAGUCGCCCUUCCUCACCAGCGUCCUCCGGUGCGCUCUGGAGCCACUUCCUCUCUCCCUCUGUGUGUGUGUGUGUGUGUGUCAGCACGCGCGGUGCAGGAGAGGCGCCCCUCCUUCCUCUCCCCCCAAUCUCCGUUGGGGGGUCUCUUCUCAUUUCCGAACACACAAAUCCUUUUUGUGUGGCUUUGCGUCCUUUGCCGUCUUUUUAUUUUUUCCACGGGUCUAUCCGACACGCAGGUCCGCACCCUCUCGGCCACGCUCCCGCGCUCGCGCACUCUCGAUCUCUGUGCGUGUAUCCCCCAGAAGCACACACACAUAGACGCAUCCACGCGCGCAGCUACCUACACGAAGAUACAAACCCGCGCUUCAACGUCAGACGCAUCUCCGACACGCGCGCAUACCUUUUCCCGCUUUUGGGGGGGCCUGUGUGCGUUCGCGUUCUCGACGUCUGCAGCGCAGGAGUCACAGGAGCGGCCUGUAGACAGGAAGUGACGCAAGGACGAAGGGGGUGGUGGUGGUGGCAGGGAACAAGUUGCUCCGGAGCAACCUGAUCAGCGCCCCCGCGCCCCCACCCUCCUCUCCUUGCCUGUCUGUCUUCCUGCCUUCCUCCGAUCUUUGCCUAUCUUGAUCUCCGAGGUGCGCCUGUACGCUGACCCCCCUCCCCACCUGACCCGUUCUCCUCUCGCCGCUCGGGCGAGUGUCGCUUCGCUUGUUGUCUUCCGCUCUGGCGGCGCGUUUUGUGGUGCCCUUGGGUCGUUGCGCUGCUCUCUUCGCUCCCUCUCCCUCCUCUCGGCGCGCCGACACGCGUGUGGAGGUCGAAGGAAGUGUGCGGCGCAGAGGCCACUGCUGUGUGUGUGUGUGUGCUGCCGACAGCUGCACUUCGCUUCUCUCUUGCUCUCCCUUCUGACGCCUUCUCGACUUGUCUUUUCGCCUCCCGUCGCUUUCCUAGCUGAUCCCCUUUACGCACGUCGGUCUGUCGGCGACUGGAUGUGUUUCUCGCUGCUCUGCUUGCCGUUCUCCUCCUCUUUUCCAUCGCCACACAGACUCCCUCUCUCUAUCUACCGAACGUCCGCGUUUCUGUGAGCGUUGUGUGCGCGUGUGCGCAUGUUGUUGAGGUCCGGCGCUUGACAAAACGGGGCGGCUUGCACUACUCACCUCUCUCGCCAGACACAGUCUGCGGAGAGGCAGCGUCUCCCUCUGUCUUGCUCGUUGGCCAGCCAGCAAGACCAUCGCACAGGGCCAAGCGCACAGCGAGGCGGCAUCGCCUUCCUAAGCUGGUACUCCCCGUGCUGCCGUGCAGUGUUCAAAGUAGUGGUGAGAGGGGAGGGGCGGUAACACACACACCAAAGGCAGAAACGCCACCGUCUCCGCCCUAAAGGUGGCGCCACCUCACCCCUUGUCGUUGUUGUGUUUUGCGUUGAGAGCAGUGGCGGCAAGGGAGGGGGGCUCUGCUGUGCCACCGUGGUCCUCUUCAGACGCACGCAGAUACGCGCUUGUCCGCGAGUGCAACAAUAGCGGGCGUCGCUCACGCAGCGGGGGGCUUGUUUUUCUGUCGCUCUCGUUGUCCCGGCCCACCACUCUCUCCCGCCCCGCCCUUCGCGCCUCUCGGUCUGUCUUGUCUUUGUGUGUGCGUCCUCGUGCAGAGUCGCUGGAAGAGAAACGAAGUGAACGAGGGAGACACGGGAAAAGGCAAGCACGCUACGGCGGACAUGCUUGUGCACGCACACACGCACACAUCUGUCGUUCCUCUCGUUUUCCUCGUCUAUCUUUUUUCUUCUUCGCUCGCUGUCUGGAGCGGCAGCCGCAGCGACUCAGAUCCCUUGUGUUUUGUGCGUGCGUAGAGACCGGUGCUGCCUCCACGUGUGCCGUGUGCGGGGUUUGACCGUCUCGCCACGCUCUCGAACUGCUUCUCGUCUUUUUUCCUUUUCCCUCUGGGCCGCUUCCGCCCUCCGCCCUCCCCGACCUGCCAACUUGCGUUGCAGAUGUUGCCCUACGCUAUUCGGCAGAUUGUAUGGAUGCUCACCAGUGCCCUGCAGCUGAUCUACGCGCUCAGCACAGGGGUGGUGUGGGUGAUGCAGAUGCUGCGGUUUUUCGUCUACGGCGCCUGCGUUGGGGUGUGCUUUAUCCCACACUGGUGGUGGUACCUGACUUCGCCCAACAUCAUUCGCCGCGUGUCGUACCGCUCCUCCGAGAAGACGAAGCGGCGCAAUAUCUUGCGCGUGCUGGAGGCAGAGGGGGUCGACCUGCGUGAGGUGCUGUGCAAGGACUCCAUCGCGCAAGCAACGCAGCCAUCACAGCAGAUGCAGCUACCACCAUCCCCAGCCACUGCAGCGGCGGCGGCGCGUCGUCGACGUCGUCUAGCGACUGUGGCUGGCGCCGGGCAGCAGGAUGGAGCAGCAAGAGACUGCAGUGACAGCCUGCCCCACACGGUCGACGGCGAAGUCGAUGAUCGUUCUCUCUCCCAGCUGCAUAACCCCUCCCCCUUCUCCACUCUGCGAUGCUGGGAAGCCUCUGGCAGCGGGUAUGACCAACGCACGCCGCUUGGCCUCAGCAGCGAGCCUUUAGGCCGUGACUCCGACAGCUACGAUGAGGCCAGCUUCGUUUCCUCGUCUUCGCAGCGCCGCCGCCGCCGCCCAACACCAUCUCGCUCGGUGCUGACUAGACCAUGUCACGGCGGCACCGAAGCCUCCACGAGCGGCCCGCCCGGCGCCACGGCGCUUGAGCGACUGAUGGGCGCCGUCACGUGCAACCUAAACCCGGCUGACGGCUCCGCCAUGCGUAGCUUGCCGCUGCGACGGCGCCAGCAGUCCCAACCUCAGCGGCCCAUCAUCGAAGACGCCGCUGCGCACCGCUCGCGCGAGCCGGAAGAAGGCAUCGAGCGGCGGCAGGAUGCUCACAACGGCCCUUCCGUGACUGCCACGGCACGCGCCAAGGCACACAGCAGCUCAUCAAGCGGUGGAACAGAAACCCAGCCUCGCAAGCCUCGGCGUGAUGCCACAGGCGACGAGGCUGCCGUCUGCCGCGCAGCACCGGAGGACAGCACGGAAGAGCAGAUGAACGGCUGCAGACUUCGCGGCAGCCCGCAGCGCGUGCACGGGUACGAAGGCCGCCCUGUGCACUACAAGACGCUGCCCAAGGUGAACCCCUCGAGCGAUCCGAUGCUGCGAGAUGUGCUUGCCGCCUUUCACGAGGCGGAGGCGUCGGACGUGACGGUGGGGCUCUCACAAGCUGGCCACCCGUCAGGGCCGCAUUCGCGACGCCAGCCCGGCGGCGCGGCGGCGAGGCGGCCGCGUCGGCGAAGUGGAGCGCCGCCGCCACAGCGCCGGGGGAAAGCUGCUCACGAGCCGCGUGCGCAACCGCAACACAAGCCGCGCGCCCGCACGUUCUCCGAAGAAAACCUCUUUGCCGAACUUGACGAGGAGGACGAGGAGGAUCGUAUGAACCUGCACAACCGCGCUACCGUCGACAUUGUCCUGCCGGCGCCGCUGGACGCCAUCAUGAAGACGCUCGAGUACACCCAGCAGAGCAAGCGGCUGCGCCGCAAGCGCUUUCCUAUUGUAAUCGACGUCUCGGGGGUGGCAUGGAUCAUCGGCAGCCACCUCUGGAGCACCAUGAUAGCGCGGGUGCUGGCACAGCGCGGUUACGUUGUCUUCUGCCCCGACUACCGCAACUUCCCGCAGACGACGAUGGAGGGCAUGACGCUGGACGUCUCGGACGCCAUCGCGUGGGUGCUGAACAACGCGGAGCGCUACAACGGCGACCUGAACAAUGUGACGCUGAUUGGGCAGUCCGCCGGUGCGCACCUGACGAUGAUGUCGCUGCUGUCGCAGGCGCAGCUCUCCGCGUACCGGCACAACGCCGAGAAGGGCAUCCACGAAGGCGUUCCACCGCCGUCGGACGUCGCCUACAACGUCCCCCGCUACAACCCGCGUGAGUCGAUCCACCGCUACGUCGGCCUCAGCGGCAUGUACAAUAUCGAGGGUCUCGUGGACCACUUCCAGGCCGCGGGUCUCACCACCCCGGUGCUGUACCAGAUCGCCGGCGGCCGGGACCAGCUAGCGCGCUACACGCUAAACGCGUACUUCGACGACCGCCGCGGCGGCGACACGGGCGAGGUGCUGCCGGACAACAUUUUUGACUUUUUCCCACAGCGCAUGUUCUUUGUGCACGGCGACGCGGACAAGAGCGCGCCCGUCACGGAGAGCGCGUCCCUUGUCGGAAUGAUGCGGGCGGCGCAGGAGCGCUACACGCUGAGGCGCAGUGCACGCAACGAGGAGGCGCGGCGUCACGCACAACGCAGUCGUCGUUUGUUGCCGGGUGCCUUGGCUGCCGCCGCCGGUGAAGUGAAGAGCAGCAGUGCGGCCACAGCGGCCGGUGUCUUCCCAAGUCCAUUGACGGGAUUGCCGUCGCGGCGUGCGACGGUAGUGGACUUCGAUACGGUGGACUCAGCAGCAGUCGCGACGGCUGCCGAGCAGGCGGUUGGCGCGGCCGUGAGGUUGGCCGACAAUCAAGAGAUCAUCUUCGUCCACAGUAAGGACCUUGUCGAUACCGGUGCAGCACCGAACGCGGCUCAGCAGCAGCAGUACUCCUACGGGACAGGAGCGCCUCGUGCUUCGAUUCUGUCGCCGACGAUCAGCCCCAUCAUUCCACCCUCACGCGAGGACCGUCCUCAGCCGCCGGUGGAGCUUGGCUUUCUCGUCAUCCCUGGCGGUCGACACUCGGACGCCUUCGUGGAUGAAUGCAUCGCCGCGGGUCGCAGCUGCUGCGUUGACUUUUUGUGCGACUACGAGUCGACGAUCGACUUCCAAGGCAACGCCUUAGAGCCGGGCUCGCACGGGCCCAACGCCGAGGGCGCCAGUGGGAACUCCCUCGGCGACUCGGUGUGGACCUCAUCCUUGCCGGAGGCGGACAAGGCGCCACUCUCAUGGGCGCAUGCGCCAGAGAUGAGUGUGAUGCCUGACGCGGUGCUGCCGCUUGCCGUGCCCUACGAAGAUCGCUCGCUGCCACUGCGACUGUGCACAAUGAUCUGUCCAUUCUAAAGCGUGCAUAAUCCCCUCCCCCUCCCUGCCUUCCCGCGUCAGGUGCUGCUGAGAGUUGACUCUCCACGGUGUCUCGACCAACCAAUGUGCAUGCAUACGAUGGGUUGGUCUCGUGCGUGUGCAUGUGUGCCUGCCGGCAUCAAAGAAGGAGAGCCGACGCCGCACACGCGUGGAAGACGGCGCGCCGGUGUCUCUCGGCGCGUGAGGGACGAUGUCAUC